CCUACGGGUGGCAGCAGUGGGGGAUAUUGCACAAUGGGGGGAACCCUGAUGCAGCGAAGCCGCGUGUGGGAAGACGGUCCUCUGGAUUGUAAACCACUGUCCCCAGGGACGAAAAUGACGGUAGCUGGGGAGGAAGCUCCGGCUAACUACGUGCCAGCAGCCGCGGUAAUACGUAGGGAGCGAGCGUUGUCCGGAAUUACUGGGUGUAACGGGAGCGUAGGCGGGGAUGCAAGUUGGGGGUAAAAACUACCGGCUCAACUGGUAGUCGCACUCAAAACUGCUGCUCUUGAGGGAAGUAGAGGCAGGCGGAAUGCGUAGUGUAGCGGUGAAAUGCGUAGAUAUUAGGAGGAACACCAGUUGCGAAGGCGGCCUACUGGGCUUUUACUGACGCUGAGGCUCGAAAGUGUGGGGAGCAAACAGGAUUAGAUACCCCAGUAGUC
This 440-nucleotide ribosomal RNA is filed under the name uncultured bacterium. RNAcentral describes it as "partial 16S ribosomal RNA". It matches the Rfam family "Bacterial small subunit ribosomal RNA", at positions 338 to 795 of the family's 1533-position model. The record is from RNAcentral.